RNAcentral lists this ribosomal RNA (576 nucleotides) under Staphylococcus aureus. Its description in RNAcentral is "bacterial SSU rRNA". It matches the Rfam family "Bacterial small subunit ribosomal RNA", at positions 60 to 618 of the family's 1533-position model. The record is from RNAcentral. Lineage: Bacteria; Bacillati; Bacillota; Bacilli; Caryophanales; Staphylococcaceae.
AGUCGAGCGAACGGACGAGAAGCUUGCUUCUCUGAUGUUAGCGGCGGACGGGUGAGUAACACGUGGAUAACCUACCUAUAAGACUGGGAUAACUUCGGGAAACCGGAGCUAAUACCGGAUAAUAUUUUGAACCGCAUGGUUCAAAAGUGAAAGACGGUCUUGCUGUCACUUAUAGAUGGAUCCGCGCUGCAUUAGCUAGUUGGUAAGGUAACGGCUUACCAAGGCAACGAUGCAUAGCCGACCUGAGAGGGUGAUCGGCCACACUGGAACUGAGACACGGUCCAGACUCCUACGGGAGGCAGCAGUAGGGAAUCUUCCGCAAUGGGCGAAAGCCUGACGGAGCAACGCCGCGUGAGUGAUGAAGGUCUUCGGAUCGUAAAACUCUGUUAUUAGGGAAGAACAUAUGUGUAAGUAACUGUGCACAUCUUGACGGUACCUAAUCAGAAAGCCACGGCUAACUACGUGCCAGCAGCCGCGGUAAUACGUAGGUGGCAAGCGUUAUCCGGAAUUAUUGGGCGUAAAGCGCGCGUAGGCGGUUUUUUAAGUCUGAUGUGAAAGCCCACGGCUCAACCGUGG